This 263-nucleotide unclassified non-coding RNA is filed under the name plant metagenome. Its description in RNAcentral is "partial contains small subunit ribosomal RNA, internal transcribed spacer 1, and 5.8S ribosomal RNA". The record is from RNAcentral.
UUUCCGUAGGUGAACCUGCGGAAGGAUCAUUAUUGUAUAACCGAGGUGCGAGGGCUGUCGCUGACCCGAAAGGUCGUGCACGCCCGAGUGCCCUCACACACAUCCAUCUCACCCCUAUGUGCACCACCGCGUCGGUCCCCCUUUGGCUUGUUCGGAGGGGGGCUUACGUUUUCACACAAACUUUGUAUGCAGUGUAGAAUGUAUUUUUUGUUUUUGCGAUCACGCAAUCAAUACAACUUUCAACAACGGAUCUCUUGGCUCUC